GAUGAACGCUGGCGGCGUGCUUAACACAUGCAAGUCGAACGGAAAGGCCCAAGCUUGCUUGGGUACUCGAGUGGCGAACGGGUGAGUAACACGUGGGUGAUCUGCCCUGCACUUCGGGAUAAGCCUGGGAAACUGAGUCUAAUACCGGAUAGGACCACAUUUUGGAUGGUGUGGUGGAAAGUUUUUCGGUGUGGGAUGAGCUCGCGGCCUAUCAGCUUGUUGGUGGGGUAAUGGCCUACCAAGGCGUCGACGGGUAGCCGGCCUGCGAGGGUGUACGGCCACAUUGGGACUGAGAUACGGCCCAGACUCCUACGGGAGGCAGCAGGGGGGAAUAUUGCACAAUGGGCGCAAGCCUGAUGCAGCGACGCCGCGUGGGGGAUGACGGCCUUCGGGUUGUAAACUCCCUUCGCUAGGGACGAAGCGUUAUGUGACGGUACCUGGAGAAGAAGCACCGGCUAACUACGUG
This 466-nucleotide ribosomal RNA is filed under the name uncultured bacterium. RNAcentral describes it as "partial 16S ribosomal RNA". It matches the Rfam family "Bacterial small subunit ribosomal RNA", at positions 28 to 507 of the family's 1533-position model. The record is from RNAcentral.